Molecule: ribosomal RNA, 746 nt
Filed under: uncultured bacterium
Lineage: Bacteria
Description: bacterial SSU rRNA
Rfam family: Bacterial small subunit ribosomal RNA
Source: RNAcentral
UCGAGCGAGGCGCGGGGGCAACUCCGCAGUCGAGCGGCGAACGGGUGAGUAACACGUGGAUAACCUGCCCUGAGGCGGGGAACAACCAGGGGAAACUCUGGCUAAUACCGCAUGAUACCGAAAGGUCAAAGGGGGCUCGCAAGGGCUCUCGCCACAGGAGGGGUCCGCGUCCGAUUAGCUAGUUGGUAGGGUAAUGGCCUACCAAGGCCACGAUCGGUAGCCGGCCUGAGAGGGUGAUCGGCCACACUGGAACUGAGACACGGUCCAGACUCCUACGGGAGGCAGCAGUGGGGAAUUUUGCGCAAUGGGCUAACGCCUGACGCAGCAACGCCGCGUGGAGGAUGAAGGUCUUUGGAUUGUAAACUCCUGUCAGCAGGGAAAAAGCGAAUCGGCCUAACACGCCGGUGAGUUGAUUGUACCUGCAGAGGAAGCCCCGGCUAACUCUGUGCCAGCAGCCGCGGUAAUACAGAGGGGGCAAGCGUUAUUCGGGAUUAUUGGGCGUAAAGGGCGCGUAGGCGGCUUUGCAAGUGGAUGGUGAAAUCCCUCGGCUUAACCGAGGAACUGCCAUCCAGACUGCUUUGCUUGAGGCCGGGAGAGGCGAGUGGAAUUCCCAGUGUAGCGGUGAAAUGCGUAGAUAUUGGGAGGAACACCAGUGGCGAAGGCGGCUCGCUGGACCGGUUCUGACGCUGAGGCGCGAAAGCGUGGGGAGCAAACGGGAUUAGAUACCCCGGUAGUCCACGCCGUAA